CCUACGGGAGGCAGCAGUGGGGGAUAUUGCACAAUGGGGGAAACCCUGAUGCAGCGACGCCGCGUGGGUGAAGAAGUAUUUCGGUAUGUAAAGCCCUAUCAGCAGGGAAGAAAGAAGACGGUACCUGACUAAGAAGCCCCGGCUAACUACGUGCCAGCAGCCGCGGUAAUACGUAGGGAGCGAGCGUUAUCCGGAUUCACUGGGUGUAAAGGGAGCGUAGACGGCCGUGCAAGCCAGGAGUGAAAGCCCGGGGCCCAACCCCGGGACUGCUCUUGGAACUGUGCGGCUGGAGUGCGGGAGGGGCAGGCGGAAUUCCUGGUGUAGCGGUGAAAUGCGUAGAUAUCAGGAGGAACACCGGCGGCGAAGGCGGCCUGCUGGACCGCGACUGACGUUGAGGCUCGAAAGCGUGGGGAGCGAACAGGAUUAGAUACCCCAGUAGUC
This 441-nucleotide ribosomal RNA is filed under the name uncultured bacterium. RNAcentral's name for it is "partial 16S ribosomal RNA". It matches the Rfam family "Bacterial small subunit ribosomal RNA", at positions 338 to 795 of the family's 1533-position model. The record is from RNAcentral.